GAUGAACGCUGGCGGCGUGCCUAAUACAUGCAAGUCGAGCGAACAGACGAGAGUGCUUGCACUCUCUGACGUUAGCGGCGGACGGGUGAGUAACACGUGGGUAACCUACCUAUAAGACUGGGAUAACUUCGGGAAACCGGAGCUAAUACCGGAUAAUAUUUAGCUUCGCAUGAAGCAAUAGUGAAAGAUGGUUCUGCUGUCACUUAUAGAUGGACCCGCGGUGUAUUAGCUAGUUGGUGAGGUAACGGCUCACCAAGGCAACGAUACGUAGCCGACCUGAGAGGGUGAUCGGCCACACUGGGACUGAGACACGGCCCAGACUCCUACGGGAGGCAGCAGUAGGGAAUCUUCCGCAAUGGACGAAAGUCUGACGGAGCAAUGCCGCGUGAGUGAAGAAGGUUUUCGGAUCGUAAAACUCUGUUGUAAGGGAAGAACAAGUACGUUAGUAACUGAACGUACCUUGACGGUACCUUACCAGAAAGCCACGGCUAACUACGUG
This 499-nucleotide ribosomal RNA is filed under the name uncultured bacterium. RNAcentral describes it as "partial 16S ribosomal RNA". It matches the Rfam family "Bacterial small subunit ribosomal RNA", at positions 28 to 507 of the family's 1533-position model. The record is from RNAcentral.